This 252-nucleotide ribosomal RNA is filed under the name uncultured bacterium. Its description in RNAcentral is "partial 16S ribosomal RNA". It matches the Rfam family "Bacterial small subunit ribosomal RNA", at positions 524 to 776 of the family's 1533-position model. The record is from RNAcentral.
UACGGAGGACGCGAGCGUUAUCCGGAUUUAUUGGGUUUAAAGGGUGCGUAGGCGGACUGUCAAGUCAGCGGUAAAAUUGAGAGGCUCAACCUCUUCCCGCCGUUGAAACUGGUGGUCUUGAGUGGAUGAGAAGUACGCGGAAUGCGUGGUGUAGCGGUGAAAUGCAUAGAUAUCACGCAGAACUCCGAUUGCGAAGGCAGCGUACCGGCAUCCAACUGACGCUGAGGCACGAAAGCGUGGGGAUCAAACAGG